AACUUCUUUUUGCAAAUUUAACAGUUUUUAGAUUUAGCAGCAAUGAACUUGAUGUACUUUUUAAAAAAAAUUUUCAGACAGUCUCACUCUUGUUACCCAGGCUGGUGAGCAGUGGCACAAUCUUGGCUCACUGCAACCUCCGCCUCCAGGAGAAUCACUUGAACCCAGGGGGCAGAGGUUGCAAUGAGCUGAGAUCACAGCACUGCACUCCAGCCUGGGCAGCAGAGUAAGACUUUGUCUCAAAGAAAGAACAAAAACAAACAAAAAAAAAUGUUUUAUAUGCAAAAGUUUUUUGUAUCAUGCUUGUAUAAAUCCAGCUUUUUUUGUAUCAUGCUUGUAUUUUUUUUUUCUAGCUGUUAUUGCUUUUCUGAUAAUAGUACUGAAUUUGGUGUUAUGGUUGGUCAUUUUCUUCUAGAUAAUAUGUAAUCCAAAAUAUUCUUUUUUUUGUUUGUUUGUUUGUUUGUUUGAGACGGAGUCACGUUCUGUUGCCUGGGCUGGAGUGCACUGAUGCAAUCUUGGCUCACUGAAAUCUCUGCCUCCCAGGAGAAUUGCUUGAAUCCGGGAGGCGGAGGUUGCAGUGAACUGAGAUUGCACCACUGCACUCCAGCCUGGGCGACAGAGUGAGACUCCGUCUCAGAAAAAUAAAAAACAACUUUGGACAUAGAGGAGUUGGGGGCAGAGGGGGGAGGAUGAGAGAAUUUUCCAUGUAACUCCUUUUCCUUAAGAAAAAGAAGCAAAAAUCCCUCAUGCAGUGCCAUCUGACUUUAUGGUGUUUCACAUUAUAUAGUUACUUUUUUUAAUAAACGCAUAAGAUUAACUCUUCCUGCAACCCAAGGUGGAUACUUGGAUGUUUGAUUUUUAUUUAUUUAUUUAUUUAUUUUUUGAGGCAGUCUCUCUCUGUUGCCCAGGCUGGAGUGAUGCGUGAUUUCUGCUCACUGCAGUCUCUCCCACCCGGGUUCAAGCGAUUCUCCUGCCUCAGCCUCCCAAGUAGCUAGGAUUACAGGCGCGCACCACCACGCUCAGCCUGAUUUCUAGGCUGAAAAGGCUGGGACUCAGGUACUUUCCCCAGUUGGGACUGAACUUUCUCAUCAGAGAAUGGGCCUCAGAAGCAAUGUUCCCAAACUUGUGGUUGGGUCAUCGUGGAAAAGAAACCUCAAAUAAGAAAAAUAAUUACAAUAAGAAAUGGAUUUUCUUUUUUCCCACAACAGUUAUACAUUAUAAAGAACAGACUGUCGUAGAAAACUGUCUUUGCUUCCAAAUCAGCAGAGGACCAUUGUAUGUAUUGUCAGGUCUUUAUAUAAGAGUGAAACCUUUAUUUAUGCUUCUUGUGAGUAGAGAAUAAAUUUUAAAACUAAUUAGAUGAAAUUAAGAACAGAGUAUUGGAACAUCUCUGUGUUUUCCGGAAUGUUUACUCAGGUCCAUGAAUGCUGUGAUGCUGGGAACUUAGGGAAGAUUCACCAAAAUUUGAGAGUGAUAAAAAUGGCCUAAAAUGGGAAAUGGUGAGCACUCUUAUUAUUAGUGAGAUUGGUCAAUCAGCCCAUUUGAAAUGGGUAAAAAAUACUUUCAGUAAAAUAAUUACAUAUUAUAUAUAAAAUAUUUCUUUUUUUGAGGGCAGCUACUGAGUGAUAAAAGCAUAGUAGAAAUCACUUUGGUUAAAAGUAACUCAAAUUUUUCUCUUAAGUAAUCUACCAACUUCCUGAUGUUUUUCUUUAAUAUUUUGGAACUGUUCAAGACAGAAUGGAGCCUACAUAUAUGGUGUUCCACUAGUAUGUUGAAAAUGUCAUAUCAUGGAGAAUGGAGACACCUUCCAGGUGUCUGUUAAACCCAUCUUCUCUGUGUACUUCUGGCAUCUUUUUUGGUAGGAUCAUUUGGCAGGGGGUAGAGUACCUGUACUUUUGGCACCAUUGAAACCAGCUCUGGCCCACUUGUUUGAAUAGCUAUCAGACUCAGCGUCUCUAUAUGCUUUAUAUACAGUUGAGAGAACCAGUGUUUAAUGCUCUUGAAAUUGUAUCUUCCAUGCUUCAGACCAGAUGCAUUUAACAAAAUGGAUAUAUUCCAGCUGUAGUUGCCCAGUGUUUACUUAACACAUCUACAUUUUUUUCUUGUCUAUUUUGGUCCCCUUGAUAGGAAAAGCUAUAAUUUUAGGCAGGACUAUACGUCGAUUUGUAGCCAUGCUUCCUUCCUUUCCCUUGCUCAUCCAUGUUAGCUGGCAGUUUUUCUUUUGAAAAGUUAAAACCGGGAUAUGUGCAAUAGAAAUAUAUAUAUAUAUAUGUAUAUUUUAAUACUUGUGGACAAAUGUUACAAGUUGUUUAAGAACAACAAAAUCACCAAUGUCUUCCAUUUUGAGAUGUGUAUAGUUUUGUAAGCAUUAGUGCUUGGUAGCAUAUUGUAGUGCCAUGUUAGGGGUUAGUGCAUGAGUCUAGUGAUUUUAAACUUCAGGAUGAAUUAUUGAUAAUAACAAAUAGUGUAAAAAGAGUGGAAAAUCUAAACCUUUUCUUUUUCCAUAAUGUCUAAAUCUGUUAUAUUCUUCCUGGGGAAAAGAGAUUAAGGCCCAAAAGACUCAUUUAUGAAUAGAAAUGUGGGGUCAAAAUCUGAGAUACUAUAUUUGAGGACAUUUCAGCUUUCCAUAAGGUAUCUGGAAACCAGCUGUCUUUGUGUCUUAUGAAACCUCAAGUCAAAAUGAGACCGCAUUUAAUUAUUCUGCUUUGCUCUUUUUUUGGGGUGGGGGGGAGAUAGAGUUUCACUCUGUCACCCAGGCUGGAGUGCAGUGGCACAAUCUUUGCUCACUGUAACCUCUGCCUCUUGGGUUCAAGUGAUUCUCGUGCCCCAGCCUCCCGAGUAGCUGGGACUACAGGCACGUGCCACCACGCCCAGCUAAUUUUUAUAUUUUUAGUAGAGACGGGGUUUUGCUGUGUUGGCCAGGCUGGUCUCAAACUCCUGACCUCAAGUAAUCCACCUGGCCUGCUCUUUUCAUGUCUUAACAUGGCAUGUCUUUUAGUUUCAUUAUUUUCCUACUCCUUGUAUGUCAAGAAAUUACAUUUUGCAUGUCUUAUGGAGAUGCUGUUAAUUGCUUCAGUGAGUGCUUUUCUAAUCUGCAGACCAUUUACAUUUCCUGUUUGCAGCAUGCUGUGUGCAAACACUCAGUAAUUUGGAGUAUUCAAUUAUUUGUUAGGGCUCUUCCUAUUUCCAAAUGUGCUGAAUUGUCUAUUGAUGGGAUUUUCAGAUCUUUUCAUGAGAACUGGAAAUGUAGCUGGGUGGCACCUACCUAGGUUGCUACGUAGUGAGUAGACUUUCUCUUGGGUAUAGUAAGCCUCAGACAGCUUUCACUUUUAUCUACUUUACUUGUGGAAAUAAAACAGUCAUUUUGUUCUGAAAGAAUAAGAUAGCUUUCUGUAGAGAAGGAAUUCCUACCUCUAAAAGCUGCCUUGAGAACUCAGAACUGGCAGUUUUCUGAGGUGAUUUUUAAAUUUCAGUAUUAGGGAGAGUCCAGCAUUUGCUGACACAGAUUCUACAUAACUAAUGUAUGAUAGCAAAUGCAAAACUAUUAUAAUGUGGUGUAUCUUGCGCAUACACAGGUUAGAACAAGUAGACUCUGGCAGCAGAUCUCCAGAGACCCAAGUUUAGGUUCUCAUAGUGUAUUUGAAGUAGUUAUACUCCUGGCUUAAGUAGUUUAGUGCCUGGGAGAAUCCAUUACUGAAAAGCAUUUAACUUAAAAAAAAAAAAAAAAAAAAAAAAAAAA
This 3739-nucleotide long non-coding RNA is filed under the name Homo sapiens (human). RNAcentral's name for it is "OIP5 antisense RNA 1". Lineage: Eukaryota; Metazoa; Chordata; Mammalia; Primates; Hominidae. The record is from RNAcentral.